AUUGAACGCUGGCGGAAUGCUUUACACAUGCAAGUCGAACGGCAGCGCGGACUUCGGUCUGGUGGCGAGUGGCGAACGGGUGAGUAAUGUAUCGGAACGUGCCCAGUCGUGGGGGAUAACGUAGUGAAAAUUACGCUAAUACCGCAUACGAUCUAUGGACGAAAGCGGGGGAUCGCAAGACCUCGCGCGAUUGGAGCGGCCGAUAUCAGAUUAGGUAGUUGGUGGGGUAAAGGCCCAUCAAGCCAACGACCUGUAGCUGGUCUGAGAGGACGACAAGCCACACUGGAACUGAGACACGGUCCAGACUCCUACGGGAGGCAGCAGUGGGGAAUUUUGGACAAUGGGCGAAAGCCUGAUCCAGCCAUUCCGCGUGCAGGAUGAAGGCCCUCGGGUUGUAAACUGCUUUUGUACAGAACGAAAAGGUUUCUACUAAUACUAGGAGCUCAUGACGGUACUGUAAGAAUAAGCACCGGCUAACUACGUGCCAGCAGCCGCAGUAA
Molecule: ribosomal RNA, 500 nt
Filed under: uncultured bacterium
Lineage: Bacteria
Description: partial 16S ribosomal RNA
Rfam family: Bacterial small subunit ribosomal RNA
Source: RNAcentral